Molecule: long non-coding RNA, 1176 nt
Organism: Myotis lucifugus (little brown bat)
Lineage: Eukaryota; Metazoa; Chordata; Mammalia; Chiroptera; Vespertilionidae
Exons: 3
Source: RefSeq, a predicted model, not a curated record
CCGCCCCUUUGAGAACUGGGAGCGCGCCUAAAGAGAUGGUGAAGCCCUCCAGGGUGUAGGCCUAGCGGAGCACCCUGGCAACGCGUGUAGACGGAGUGUGGGAGGAGGGGCCUUUUGCUUACCGUUGGCCUGUUUGAGAGAUCUGUGUCUCUGAACCUGGUCUCCGGAGUCAUGCAUGCAAAUGCCCCAGCACGUUGGCCUCCGUCGUCCUCACCCCCAAGGGACCCCCUGUUCCAUCUGGCACCUCGAACAGGGACCCCGGCAUGCUCCUGGAUGGAAGGUGAGAAAAAUCCCGCAUGGAUUCCUGCCCAUAACAUCAAACCCUGCACCACCAGCGAUGAGCUGUAGACCACCAUCACCAUCACCCCCGGUAGAGGAAAUGGAGGACCUGACCAUAGAGGACAACCAGCCCCAGCGGCGGAGACAACCAAGACACCGACGGGCACACAACAUUACCUGGGGUGGGAUUUAUGCAGGCCCAAUACAUGUAUUAAUCAAAGAGCCUUCACCGGCCUAAAAGGGGCCCGCCUGUAUAACGGCACCUGGAAAAAGCCGACAAGUAGAUGGGAGAACAAUGUCGCAAUCAACCCCAAUGCCACUCAUAGUUUUAGUUACUGGCCCUGUGUGAGACCCGCCUCCUUCUUCUUACAAAGCAAUUAUAGCGCUUUUACUUGUACCCAGCAAUCUUGUGUACUAUCUAAUUGCUGGAAUCUGUUGAGUUUAGUUCCUUAAGUGAUGCCCUCAGCCGUCUAACCUCCUGGUUAAAUCCUGCUAAUAUAUUCAUAUGGGCCGUCCUAGCAUCAGGAGGCCUCCUUGCAUUCUGCUUGUUUCGUUGCUUUUACUCCAUGAUCCAAAGAAUAGAUGCACAGCAAGCUAUGAUUGUCCACAUCCAGCAGGCACUUAUAAAAAAGGAAGGGGGAGAUGUGGGUAGAGCUCAAGAGAUUUAUCUCAGUGCUGCGGCUGAUGCAACUCUGUGAGCACACUCCAGUGAACAUGCUUCCUUGGCACACCAGAAAGUGGCAACGCCUGCCUGACAAAUCUCCAAGAGCCACCUACUCUUAGCCCCGACCCUCACACCCAUUGGAUAACAUAGCAAGUGUGUCCCUGUUUUAUUGGCAGCUUACCCCUUUUUAUACGGUUGUACUUCCCCAAUAAACUUAGAUCUGUGUCUCUGAA